CUUCUGUGAUGAUACGAUGACGAGUCAGAAGGGACUCUCCUUGCAGAGGGUUCCCUGGCCAGUGCCGCGUUCUGUGGGGCUGAGCUUGUGAUUCCUUUAGCGAAGGAGGGUCCUAGCCAUUGGAUGAUUUCGAGGCAUUUGUCUGAGAAGG
RNAcentral lists this small nucleolar RNA (151 nucleotides) under Sphenodon punctatus (tuatara). The record is from RNAcentral. Lineage: Eukaryota; Metazoa; Chordata; Lepidosauria; Sphenodontia; Sphenodontidae.